Molecule: ribosomal RNA, 281 nt
Filed under: Pseudomonas sp. I-05
Lineage: Bacteria; Pseudomonadati; Pseudomonadota; Gammaproteobacteria; Pseudomonadales; Pseudomonadaceae
Description: partial 16S ribosomal RNA
Rfam family: Bacterial small subunit ribosomal RNA
Source: RNAcentral
GGCGGCAGGCUAACAGCAUCCAAGUCGUAUAACGGUAGAGAGAAGCUUGCUUCUCUUGACAGCGGAGGACGGGUGAGUAAUGCCUAGAGAAUCUGCCUGGUAGUGGGGGAUAACGUUCGGAAACGAACGCUAAUACCUGCAUACAGUCCUACGGGAGAAAAGCAGGGUGACCUUCGGGCCUUGCGCUAUCAGAUUGAGCCUAGAGUCGGAUUAUGCUAGUGUGCGUGAAGUAAUUGGCUCACCAGGCGACGAUCCGUAACUAGGUCUGAGAGGAUGAUCAG